GGAGGGCCUGUGGCUCAGCGGCAGAGCAUCCGUUUGGCAUGCAGAAGGUCCCAGGUUCAAUCACCGGCAUCUCCA
This 75-nucleotide transfer RNA is filed under the name Sphaerodactylus townsendi. Its description in RNAcentral is "tRNA-Ala". It matches the Rfam family "tRNA". Rfam says of the family: Transfer RNA (tRNA) molecules are approximately 80 nucleotides in length. The record is from RNAcentral. Lineage: Eukaryota; Metazoa; Chordata; Lepidosauria; Squamata; Sphaerodactylidae.